AACUGCUGGGGGCGGGACGCCUCCUGGGACUCCUCCCGGCCGGCGCCCUUCCUUCCCAGGGUACCUCCCGGUGCUGGCAAUCCCAGGAAUGGGGAAGUGGGACCGGGAUGGGCGCAGAGGUUCGGGCUGUUCAGCAAGUUUGUCAAAGAUGAAAGUGACCUUAUCAGCUUUGGAUACUUUCGAGAGUUCUUUCACACCUUUGGUAGUCAUAGAGCUUGUGCAGGAUGUCAAAGAAGAAACCAAAGAAUGGCUGAAAAAUAGAAUUAUCGCUAAAAAGAAAGAUGGAGGCGCCCAGCUGUUGUUCAGACCACUGUUAAAUAAAUAUGAGAAAGAAACACUAGAAAAUCAGAACCUCUAUCUCGUUGGUGCCUCCAGGCUUAGACUGUUACUGGGGGCAGAAGCAGUGGGGUUGGUGAAGGAGUGCAACGAUAACACCAUGAGAGCCUUCACCUACGGCACCCGGCACAACUUCAAAGGGUUUGAUGAUGACAAUGAUGAUUUCCUCACAAUGGCAGAAUGUCAAUUCAUUAUCAAACAUGAACUUGAAAAUCUCAGAGCCAGAGAUGAAAAAAUGAUCCCUGGUUACCCCCAGGCGAAGCUGUACCCAGGAAAAUCAUUAUUGAGAAGAUUGCUCACGUCUGGCAUCAUAAUUCAGGUGUUCCCGCUGCAUGAUAAUGAAGCCCUGAAGAAGCUUGAGGACAGCUGGUAUACUCGGUUCACUCUGAAGUAUCAGCCUGUAGACAGUAUUCGUGGCUACUUUGGGGAAACAAUCGCUCUUUACUUUGGAUUUUUGGAAUACUUCACUUUUGCCUUAAUCCCCAUGGCGGUCAUUGGAUUACCUUACUACAUGUUUGUGUGGGAAGACUAUGACAAGUACGUGAUCUUCGCCUCCUUCAACCUGAUCUGGUCCACAGUGAUCCUGGAAGUGUGGAAGCGUGGCUGUGCCAAUAUGACCUACAGGUGGGGGACACUGGUCAUGAAGAGACAGUUUGAGGAGCCCCGGCCAGGAUUUCACGGGGUCCUGGGUAUCAAUUCCGUCACUGGCAGGGAGGAGCCUCUCUACCCCAGCUACAAGAGACAGCUGCGCAUUUACCUGGUCUCUCUGCCGUUUGUGUGCCUCUGUCUCUAUUUCUCUCUGUAUGUCAUGAUGAUCUACUUCGACAUGGAGGCCUGGGCCUUGGAGCUACACGAGGAUAGUGGGUCCGAGUGGACCAGUGUCUUGUUGUAUGUGCCCAGCAUCAUCUAUGCCAUUGUGAUUGAGAUCAUGAACCGUCUCUAUCGAUACGCUGCUGAGUUUUUAACUUCAUGGGAGAAUCACAGAUUGGAAUCUGCCUACCAGAAUCACCUAGUCCUGAAAGUUUUAGUGUUCAACUUUCUGAAUUGCUUUGCCUCACUCUUCUACAUUGCCUUUGUGCUGAGGGAUAUGAAGCUUUUGCGUCAGAGCUUGGCCACUCUCCUGAUUACCUCCCAGAUCCUUAACCAGAUUGUGGAAUCUCUUCUUCCGUAUUGGCUCCAAAGGAAGCACCACGUGCAGGUGAAGAGGAAGGUGCAGGCCUUAAAGGCAGACAUUGAUGCUACGUUAUAUGAACAAGUCGUCCUGGAAAAGGAAAUGGGAACGUAUUUGGGCACCUUUGAUGAUUACUUGGAGUUAUUCCUGCAGUUUGGUUAUGUGAGCCUUUUCUCCUGUGUUUACCCAUUAGCAGCUGCCUUUGCUGUGUUAAAUAACUUCACUGAAGUUAAUUCAGAUGCCUUAAAAAUGUGCAGAGUCUUCAAACGUCCAUUCUCGGAACCUUCAGCCAGUAUUGGUGUAUGGCAGGGAAGUAACUGGAACAUCACCCAAUGGAUGAUCACGAGGCCCUCUCCACUGCAGUGUUAGUGGAGAUCACGCAGGGAACCUGGACUUCUACUCCUACCAGACAGUAACGAGGCUUCUUUUCUAGUCCCUGCUGGGGUGAUCUCAGAGAAAGCCCAGUGGAGAGUCGGGACUUUCACCACCACCCAGCACAGUGGAAGCCACAUGAGAGCACAGAUGUGGCACUUGUACCCCUCCCAGCAAAGGAAGUAUCAGUGGUGGUCUAGUGGGAAGUCAGAACUCUGACCCCUGCACAGCAAGAAUAAAGACCCCACCUCCUACACUGGGUGUCAGUCGUGUCCAAGCGGGGAACCUGGACUUCUGCCUCCACCUAGCAGUAACAAGAUAUUGUCUCUUCUUCCCCUGCUGAAGUGGCGUCAGAGGAACCAACUAACACAUAAGCUUUAAAUAAAGUCUAGAGUCUUAUAUCACCCAAAAUGUCUAAAUUUAUGUCAAAAAUAACUCAUCCUACCAAGAACCAGGAUGAUAUCAAACUGAAUGAAAAAAGGCAAUCAGUAAAUGCCACCACCAAGAUGCCACAGACAUUAGAAAUAUCAGACAAAGAUUUUAAAGCAGCCAUGAUAAGAAUGCUUCAACAAGCAACUGUGAAGACACCUAAAACAAAUAAAAAAAUAGAAAGAUUAGAAUUUGAGCAAAGAAAUAGAAGAUAUAAAGGAGAAUCAAGUGGACAUUUUAGAAGUGGAAAAUACAGUAAGUGAAAUAGAAAGCUCAGUGGAUGGGUACAACAGUAGAAUGGAAGGGAUAGAGGAAAGAAUCAGGAACUGGAAAAUAGAACAAUAGAAAUUACCUGAUCUAAACAACAGAGAGAAAAUAGACUGAAAAAGUAAAUAUAGCCUCAGAAAUCUGUGUGACUAUAACAAAGAUCUAACAUUUCUGUCAUUGGAGUCUCAGAAGGAGAGGAAAAAGAGGGAGAGAUUGAAAAAGUACUUAAAGUGAUAAUGGCCAAAACUUUUCAGAUUUGGCAAGAGAUCUAAAACUACAGAUUCCAGAAGUUGAGUGAACUGCAAACAGGAUAAACCCAAAGAAAUCCAUGCUGAGACACAUCAUAAUUAAACAUCUGAAAGCUAAAGACAAAGAAAAAAUCUUGAAAGCACUCAUAGAGAAAUGACAUCUUGCAUAUAGGGGAAAAACAAUUAGAAUGACAGCCAGUUUCUCAUGAGAAAUCAUGGAGGCCAGAAGAAAAUGGCACAAUAUUUUUCGAAUUCUUAAAGAAAAAUCAAUAUAGAUCCUAUAUUCAGAGAAAAUAUUCUUCAAGAAUGAAGGGGAAAUCAAGAUAUUAUCAGAUGAGGGAAAACUAAGAGAAUUUAUUUCCAGCACACCUAUCCUAAAAGAAUGGCUGAAGGAAGUUCUGUCAACUAAGGAAAUGAUAAAAGAAAGAAUCUGGGAACAUUAGAAGAAAAAACAUGUUGGCUUUUGAAACAAUGAGUGUUAUAUCUGUGGUCACUAACUGUGCUCUGAUUGGAAUGUCACCACAAGUGAAUGCACUCUUUCCGGAGUCAAAAGUGGACCUCAUUUUGAUUGUAGUAGCAGCGGAG
Non-coding RNA from Equus caballus (horse), 3408 nucleotides. Lineage: Eukaryota; Metazoa; Chordata; Mammalia; Perissodactyla; Equidae. The record is from RefSeq and is a predicted model, not a curated record.